GUAUUGUUGCUGCAGCUGGUGUUGUGAAUCAGGCCGACAACAAGCGCAUCCUACUAUCCGGCUAUUUCACUACACCAGGGUUGCAUCAUACCAC
RNAcentral lists this microRNA precursor (94 nucleotides) under Alligator mississippiensis (American alligator). Lineage: Eukaryota; Metazoa; Chordata; Crocodylia; Alligatoridae. The record is from RNAcentral. RNAcentral also lists the same sequence under 1 other name.